UGUGCCGUGGCGGAGAUCUUUGUGGGCUAUACUCGGCCUUGUCUCAGGAUGACCCCACACUCAUCGCUAGAGAUCGAACUUCAGACUCCCUCCAAAACCACUGAACCCCUCAACACACCGAAAGAGAUUACGAUAUACCCCCUUAGAGGGAGCCGGAACAGGAUAACUCCCUCCACCAUCACAAAGACACAGAGGAGGAGGAACUAUCCAACACCCAGGGAGAGAGAACGAGUGACCUCAGUCGAACACAGCCAGAAAGAGGAGGUGGAAGAGGUGUUAGAUAGAGGAUGUGAGCAAGAAAGAGCAGAAGGCUUCUGGUCAGCCAAAUGGCAGGCAGAGGGAGAGGUCAUAGUGAUUCACACCCAGAGAGAAAGACAACCCACACAACCUCUUGGUUGAGAUGAACCGCACAGCGUUAGAGGCAGAGGGCUUUCAUCGCUAGCCAGUCAGCCUGCCUGCUCUGAUCCUCAAGUCAAUUGUAUUUAAAUUCAUGUUCAUUAAAGAUUUUUAUUCAAGAAUU
Molecule: long non-coding RNA, 520 nt
Organism: Oncorhynchus kisutch (coho salmon)
Lineage: Eukaryota; Metazoa; Chordata; Actinopteri; Salmoniformes; Salmonidae
Exons: 2
Source: RefSeq, a predicted model, not a curated record